UCUCUGAUUUGAAAUUCCUCUUGCAGAUGUCACUGUCCACGAGGCUUCAAUGGUUAUCGCUGUGAAUCCAACAUAGAUGACUGUACAAACCAUUCCUGCCAGAAUAAUGCCACUUGUAUUGAUUUAGUGGAAACAUAUACCUGUCAAUGUCCUAUUGGUUAUAUAGGUAAACACUGUCAGAAGAAAAUUGUGUUUUGUGAAGGAGAGUAUGAUAUGUGUGAGAAUGGUGCUACCUGUAAGCCUAAAGGUGAUGAUUACAGCUGCGAAUGUCUACCAGGUUACACAGGUAAAAAUUGUUCAGAAAACAUAGAUGAAUGCCGCUCUCAUAUUUGUCAGAAUGGUGCCAAAUGCAUGGAUGGCCUCAAUGGAUACACGUGUAUUUGCCCACCUGGUUACCUAGGCAACUUCUGUGAAAUAGCACCAAUCCAACAGUCAGGUGUACAACAACCCAGUGCCUGCCUUCACCACGAAUGUAAAAACAAUGGACUUUGUUAUUUGCCUUCCACCACAUCCGACUACAUGUGCCGCUGUGCCGCAGGUUUUGCCGGCAAGAAAUGUGAAAAGCUUCAUACAGUUUCCCUACACGAAGAAGAUUCAUACAUAAAGUUGCCACCAUUACAGGUAGACCCUAAAGCCAAUAUAACCAUUGUAUUCUCUGCUAAGCAAGACAAUGGUAUUUUGCUCUACACCGGCUUUGAACAACAUGUCGCAGCAGAGUUGUUCCGAGGCCGAAUUAGGAUCAGUUUUGAUGUUGGCAACUAUCCAGUAUCUUCAAUGUUCAGCUUCAAAACAGUAAACGAUGGCAACUUCCAUCAUUUGCAAAUGAUGAUUGAGAAAAAGAAUUUCACCAUGAUUGUCGAUGGAGGCAUUUCCCGUACCAUUGUGAACGAAGGAUCUCGUGAGAGUCUGGAUGUCACUGAUUCCUUGUAUCUUGGAGGACUUCCUCCUGAUGUCAAUGACAGGGCUCUGAAAAAUUGGCAUAUACGAGACAAAGCUAGCUUUGUUGGAUGUCUCCAAAAAGUCUUGAUUAACGGACACCAAUUAGACUUCAGCUCAUCACUUUACAACCAUAAACUAAUCCCUGGAUGCCAAGAGUUAAAAAAGCAAGAUCCAUGCGCAAACCACAAAUGUAAGCAUGGCAAGUGCACCAGUCGUAAAGACAGUACUUAUAAAUGCCGGUGUCGGGAAGGUUAUUCUGGAACAUACUGUGAUGUAGGUGAAGAUAUAGAAGUGAAAAAGAUGAACCCCUGUGACAAACAUGAUUGUAGGCAGGGUCGAUGUACCCCCCAGAAGGACAACACAUAUAAAUGUCGCUGUAGACGUGGUUACACUGGCCAAAGAUGUGACAUAGCACCAACUUGCCGUGACAUAGCCUACAAAGAGACCCACAAGGACCCUAAGACAGGCUGCAAAUCACGGACCAAGGUGAAAUUUCGGCGCUGUGAGGGUUCAUGCGGCCGUCACUGUUGCAAGCCGAAGAAAAUCAAAACCCGCCGUGUACGACUGUUCUGUGCAGAUGGAACCAAUUUCGUCUAUAACCUACCAGUGAUCCGAAAGUGUGGUUGCAAGCGCUGCUGACAGAGGUCACUGCCUGGGGCAGGGGGUUGGAAAGGGCUAUAUAUGUUUACAUAUAGACUUACACACAUGCAUACACAUAUAUACACACAGUCAUCUACAGAUGUGUGGAUUUACAUAUAUGCAACUGCAUGUGCAUGUAUAUAUAUAUACUUAUGCAUAUACAUAUAUAUACGUGAAUAGAGAAAAUGAACAUGUGUGAGAGAGAGAGAGAGGACAAGAAAACGAUGGAAUAAAUGAAUUUUGGAUAGAUAGAUAGAUAGAUAGAUAGAUAGAAUUGUAGAUGAAUGGAGAGAAGUAGAAUGAAGGGCAAAUUAGGGGAUGAGAGAGAGAGAGAGAGAGAGGAAGAGAAAGAGAGAGAUGGGGGUGGGGGAUGUAUGAGAAUUAAACAGAAACAUGAAGAAGAGAGAUAAAAAUGCAGAAACUAACUUGAAGAUAUAUAUAUAUAUAUACAUAUAUAUUCUCAUACACAGAGGUUCAAAUACAUAUGUUCCACAAAUGAACACAUCUUAAUUUAUACAAAAAUGAAACAAAACAAUCUAAAUGUGCUCAAUAAAAUCAAUUGAGAUUUAAGGAUUUCUGAGCUAUGACAAGACAAACGUUUAAGUGAUCCAAAAGGAACAGAUUUGAAAAGUCAAGAUUAUUCUGUAUAAAAUCUUAUUGAUUUCAUGAUUAAUAGUAUUGUUCCUGUUAUGUGAAGUGUUGAACUUGAUAUUGAGCAAAAUGAUGCCGAAAGACUUGCUUAAGGUUUACUGCAAGCUUAAUAUAACAGCAGCUAGCUAUCUUGAAACAGUACAAAUGGAACAAUGAAGACUAUCAGAGUUUCUAAAUUGCCCAGUUUGGUUAUAUAAUAGUGAAAUUAAAUUCUAUGACACUAAAAGUCCUACAUACAUUACACAUACACAUAUACAUACAUAUACACACACACACAUAUAUAUAUAUAAU
Molecule: RNA transcript, 2520 nt
Organism: Octopus sinensis (East Asian common octopus)
Lineage: Eukaryota; Metazoa; Mollusca; Cephalopoda; Octopoda; Octopodidae
Gene name: protein slit-like
Exons: 8
Source: RefSeq, a predicted model, not a curated record